RNAcentral lists this non-coding RNA (692 nucleotides) under Pan troglodytes (chimpanzee). Lineage: Eukaryota; Metazoa; Chordata; Mammalia; Primates; Hominidae. The record is from RNAcentral.
AAAUUAUACAGCCAUGUUUAUGAAGUCUACAUUUCCCUUGUCUUGGAUAUAUAUAUAUAUGGAGAUAUAUAUACAAUUCAAGCAGUUUUAAUUAAGGGUAAUCAUUGGGUUUUUCUGAAACCGGAAAGUCACGAGUCUCUCUCUUUUUUCACUUUCACAUCUCCAGCAAGGAUGGUUGCAAUUUCCCCUUGCAUAAAGGCCCAGGGGACAUUGGAGCCCACAAGAGGGCAUUUUUCCCCACUGGGACAAUAGACCUCUCCACUAGCUCCCUGCUGUUUGAUGCUUUGUCUGGAGCAAGGGAAGCAGAACUUGUGCGAAGGGACAGACGGGCACUGCACAAAAUGGGUGUCCUCCAGCCGCUCGUGGCAGAGGGUGCAGCACAGCGGGGCACUGGCUGCCAGAGAGGAGUCCGGGAGGCUGGCAGGGUGCACUGGCUCCAGUCCUCCUGUGUUGCCUGCUCCCUGGCCCCCCACCUCUCUGGGGCCCAGCCUUCUUUGGUUCAUAGAGGACGGAGAGGGCGGACUGUUGCUAUUCCUCCUGGUAGUGGAGUGAACCUGGUUGGCAUCUUUUGAGGCAUGACUGCCCCCUGCAUUGUCUGCUACUAAGAUCAGGGCUGCCAUGGGGGACUGGGCAUGCGGGGCAGGUCACACAGGUAGCACGAUUGCCGCCGGGACGCGGCCGCCACCGCCACC